UCCAGCUGAGUCGGCUGCCCAUUGCUGCUCAGUGCUUGGUGAUAGUGUUAUGCUGCUGGGAAAUAAAUGUGCUGCCAAGUCACUCCUGGCACCACCAGUGCUGUUCUGGUGCUAGGGGGUGCCAGGUUUUGGCGGCACUCUGCAUGCUUUGAGAGUGGAGUAACUCCUCCUUGGUGGAGUUAAUCCUAGAUUGCAUGCAGACAAC
RNAcentral lists this small nucleolar RNA (205 nucleotides) under Pterocles gutturalis (yellow-throated sandgrouse). Its description in RNAcentral is "Small nucleolar RNA SNORA74". It matches the Rfam family "Small nucleolar RNA SNORA74". Rfam says of the family: U19 belongs to the H/ACA class of snoRNAs. snoRNAs bind a number of proteins (including dyskerin, Gar1p and Nop10p in the case of the H/ACA class) to form snoRNP complexes. This class are thought to guide the sites of modification of uridines to pseudouridines by forming direct base pairing interactions with substrate RNAs. Lineage: Eukaryota; Metazoa; Chordata; Aves; Pterocliformes; Pteroclidae. The record is from Rfam by way of RNAcentral.